UUCAAGUUUUACCUUAUUGCCUACUAAUCCGACAGGGCAACUAUGACACACUGCUUAGAUCGCCUUUGUUCCCGAAGUAAAUGUAUAGGUAUAUCUUUCUAGCAAACAACGGUGCAACACUCCAAGGCUGAAUGGAUCUGGAUAAUCAGACACUUUUCAAGAAAAGAUUAUGAUCCGGCUUUGACAGCUCGAUUUAUACUGUGGCACGUUUUAACCUGCAGCGCUGUAAGCUUCUAUAUCUGCGCACGAGACGAUGUAACUGUCAAACGUGUAUAAACAAGCCGACCUAACCUAACAUGACGCGGCCGCCAAUCGCCAUGGCCGACUAUGAUGGCCAUUCUGCGCACGAAUUACGAAAGAAACGAAAUCAAAAUAACUUCCUACAUGCAACAGCGCACUUGACGUACAUCAUUUCCGCAUAAACGGCUCUUCGACCUUCGCAGAAAAGGCCAGUCGGAAAUAUAAGAGGCGCAGUUACGUAUCCGGAGAAUCAUGCACGUGGCUAAUGCAUCGGAAUCUCCGCGUGUGGCAAAUUGACUGCGCUAAUUCGAUGGUUUUCGAACACGUUGUCGCCUGCUACGUACAGACCGGCUGUUUGUUCCUGUCUCCGUCGCGCUGACGCAAGGGAUACCAGCUAUAAGCCGUAUCCCGAUACGCAGAAAAGCGACACCGGGAAUCAGAGCCAGGUGCCCGGCUGCUCCGAAUCGUCGCAGUAAAAAGAGAGGAGAAAAGCGUCGCUGCCAA
Long non-coding RNA from Nasonia vitripennis (jewel wasp), 744 nucleotides. RefSeq lists it as uncharacterized. The transcript has 5 exons. The record is from RefSeq and is a predicted model, not a curated record. NCBI's taxonomy places the organism in Eukaryota, Metazoa, Arthropoda, Insecta, Hymenoptera, Pteromalidae.